CUGGAGCUGAGCAGAGCCGGC
Molecule: microRNA, 21 nt
Filed under: Pristionchus pacificus
Lineage: Eukaryota; Metazoa; Nematoda; Chromadorea; Rhabditida; Neodiplogasteridae
Description: ppc-miR-8309-3p
Source: miRBase by way of RNAcentral